Molecule: ribosomal RNA, 194 nt
Filed under: Ambispora sp.
Lineage: Eukaryota; Fungi; Glomeromycota; Glomeromycetes; Archaeosporales; Ambisporaceae
Description: partial small subunit ribosomal RNA
Rfam family: Eukaryotic small subunit ribosomal RNA
Source: RNAcentral
UUUGGAGGGCAAGUCUGGUGCCAGCAGCCGCGGUAAUUCCAGCUCCAAUAGCGUAUAUUAAAGUUGUUGCAGUUAAAAAGCUCGUAGUUGGACCUUGGACCUGGACAGGCGGUCCGCCUCACGGCGAGUACUGUCUUGCUGGGUCUUUCCUCUUGGUGAUCUGUUGUUCGGCAGCAGGAACCAGACGCUAGUGG